RNAcentral lists this long non-coding RNA (638 nucleotides) under Rhinopithecus bieti (black snub-nosed monkey). Its description in RNAcentral is "lncRNA (ENSRBIG00000046120.1)". The record is from RNAcentral. Lineage: Eukaryota; Metazoa; Chordata; Mammalia; Primates; Cercopithecidae.
AUGGUACCACUAGCCACAUAUGGCGAUUGGCCACUUACAUGCACCUAGUGAGACUGAAGAAGUAAAAUUUUAAUUUUAUUGAACUUUAAUUUAUAUUUAAAUAGCCACAUAUGACUAACAGCUGCCAUAUUGUACAGCAUGGUUUUAGGCACCCCAUUUUGAUAAAUUCACUUGUCUUGUCCCAUUCAACUUGGUUACAUAAUUCUAGAUGGCCUGCUUAGUGAGAAAUGACAUUGUUGUCCUCCAGGCUCCAGCUUUCAAGAUUCCAUGCUUUACAGUCCUCUUUCCUCACUUUUGUCCUCAAGAGAAAGAUUUGCUUCAUACCAAGUAAUAAAUUGGCCAGCUUUGUCCAAAGGUCUUCCGUAACCCCUCCAAGAUGGAUUAAAAAAUUGAGAGCUUCCCUUGGCUGCUUCUGAACCAGUGGACUGCUGAGCGGGAUUGCGGAAGGAGGUGACCCAGCCUGCCCCUGUUCCACUUACUGAAUGCUGCUCAGAAACCACAGUGGAUUUGCUGCAGAGGGCCUCGGCUAUGACGCAGAGAAAAUGGUCUUAUUUCCUUACAUGAUUAAUGCCAAGGCAUGGCUUGGUAAAAAGAGGAUUAUGCCAGACCAAUGUUAUUUCCUUUUGUGCUAAAGGGGC